RNAcentral lists this long non-coding RNA (307 nucleotides) under Helianthus annuus (common sunflower). RNAcentral's name for it is "hypothetical non coding rna". Lineage: Eukaryota; Viridiplantae; Streptophyta; Magnoliopsida; Asterales; Asteraceae. The record is from RNAcentral.
UUUAACUAAAAUCGUGAUCACCUAAGUUAGUAGAUCACAAGGCAAAGGAAUUGAAUCUUCAAGCGGACGAGCCGGAGUUGAUGCGCGCUUGAAGGAAAAGCACUAAAGGAAAUGCAGGUGAUGAUGGGGUCUUUCCGGAUGGCGAUCAAGCAUGUUUUGAAGAACCGAACACGAACUUUUGAAGCUUCCGCGUUAAUUUAACUUUGUUUAGACAAUGUUUAUGAUGUAAUCAAUUCACUAAUCCUGUUUGAAUGUUUAAACUAGUUGGUAUUUAACUAGUAUGUGAUCAUUUUAAAACUUUGGUUUU